RNAcentral lists this ribosomal RNA (606 nucleotides) under Preussia sp. EAL2.4. RNAcentral's name for it is "eukaryotic LSU rRNA". It matches the Rfam family "Eukaryotic large subunit ribosomal RNA", at positions 74 to 695 of the family's 3401-position model. Lineage: Eukaryota; Fungi; Ascomycota; Dothideomycetes; Pleosporales; Sporormiaceae. The record is from RNAcentral.
AUUGCCCUAGUAACGGCGAGUGAAGCGGCAAGAGCUCAAAUUUGAAAUCUGGCCCCCUCGGGGCCCGAGUUGUAAUUUGUAGAGGGUGCUUUGGCGUUGGCUGUGGUCUAAGUUCCUUGGAACAGGACGUCGCAGAGGGUGAGAAUCCCGUAUGUGGCCGCCAGUCUUCGCCGUGUAAAGCCCCUUCGACGAGUCGAGUUGUUUGGGAAUGCAGCUCUAAAUGGGAGGUAAAUUUCUUCUAAAGCUAAAUAUUGGCCAGAGACCGAUAGCGCACAAGUAGAGUGAUCGAAAGAUGAAAAGCACUUUGGAAAGAGAGUCAAAAAGCACGUGAAAUUGUUGAAAGGGAAGCGCUUGCAGCCAGACUUGCCCGCAGUUGCUCACCCAGGCUCGCGCCUGGUGCACUCUUCUGCGGGCAGGCCAGCAUCAGUCCGGGCGGUUGGACAAAGGCCUGCUAAAUGUACCUCUCCUCGGGGAGGACUUAUAGGGUAGGCAACAUACAACCAGCCCGGAUUGAGGUCCGCGCAUCUGCUAGGAUGCUGGCGUAAUGGCUGUAAGCGGCCCGUCUUGAAACACGGACCAAGGAGUCUAACAUCUAUGCGAGUGUUU